This 445-nucleotide ribosomal RNA is filed under the name uncultured bacterium. RNAcentral's name for it is "partial 16S ribosomal RNA". It matches the Rfam family "Bacterial small subunit ribosomal RNA", at positions 354 to 796 of the family's 1533-position model. The record is from RNAcentral.
GUGAGGAAUAUUGGACAAUGGGCGCAAGCCUGAUCCAGCCAUGCCGCGUGCAGGAAGACGCAUCUAUGGUGUGUAAACUGCUUUUGUACGGGAAGAAACACUCCCUCGUGAGGGAGCUUGACGGUACCGUAAGAAUAAGGAUCGGCUAACUCCGUGCCAGCAGCCGCGGUAAUACGGAGGAUCCAAGCGUUAUCCGGAAUCAUUGGGUUUAAAGGGUCCGUAGGCGGUUUAAGAAGUCAGUGGUGAAAGCCCAUCGCUCAACGAUGGAACGGCCAUUGAUACUGUUAGACUUGAAUUACAAGGAAGUAACUAGAAUAUGUAGUGUAGCGGUGAAAUGCUUAGAUAUUACAUGGAAUACCAAUUGCGAAGGCAGGUUACUACUUGUGGAUUGACGCUGAUGGACGAAAGCGUGGGGAGCGAACAGGAUUAGAUACCCCGGUAGUCC